This 817-nucleotide ribosomal RNA is filed under the name Knoellia subterranea. Its description in RNAcentral is "bacterial SSU rRNA". It matches the Rfam family "Bacterial small subunit ribosomal RNA", at positions 465 to 1282 of the family's 1533-position model. The record is from RNAcentral. Lineage: Bacteria; Bacillati; Actinomycetota; Actinomycetes; Micrococcales; Intrasporangiaceae.
GAAAGUGACGGUACCUGCAGAAGAAGCACCGGCUAACUACGUGCCAGCAGCCGCGGUAAUACGUAGGGUGCGAGCGUUGUCCGGAAUUAUUGGGCGUAAAGAGCUUGUAGGCGGUUUGUCGCGUCUGCUGUGAAAAUCCGGGGCUCAACCCCGGACUUGCAGUGGGUACGGGCAGACUAGAGUGUGGUAGGGGAGACUGGAAUUCCUGGUGUAGCGGUGAAAUGCGCAGAUAUCAGGAGGAACACCGAUGGCGAAGGCAGGUCUCUGGGCCAUUACUGACGCUGAGAAGCGAAAGCAUGGGGAGCGAACAGGAUUAGAUACCCUGGUAGUCCAUGCCGUAAACGUUGGGAACUAGGUGUGGGUCUCAUUCCACGAGGUCCGUGCCGCAGCUAACGCAUUAAGUUCCCCGCCUGGGGAGUACGGCCGCAAGGCUAAAACUCAAAGGAAUUGACGGGGGCCCGCACAAGCGGCGGAGCAUGUGGAUUAAUUCGAUGCAACGCGAAGAACCUUACCAAGGCUUGACAUAUACCGGAAACAUCCAGAGAUGGGUGCCCCGCAAGGUCGGUAUACAGGUGGUGCAUGGUUGUCGUCAGCUCGUGUCGUGAGAUGUUGGGUUAAGUCCCGCAACGAGCGCAACCCUCGUUCUAUGUUGCCAGCACGUGAUGGUGGGGACUCAUAGGAGACUGCCGGGGUCAACUCGGAGGAAGGUGGGGAUGAGGUCAAAUCAUCAUGCCCCUUAUGUCUUGGGCUUCACACAUGCUACAAUGGCCGGUACAAAGGGCUGCGAAACCGUGAGGUGGAGCGAAUCCCAAAAAAC